RNAcentral lists this long non-coding RNA (2538 nucleotides) under Monodelphis domestica (gray short-tailed opossum). RNAcentral describes it as "lncRNA (ENSMODG00000049686.1)". Lineage: Eukaryota; Metazoa; Chordata; Mammalia; Didelphimorphia; Didelphidae. The record is from RNAcentral.
AUAUGGGUUAUAGGAAGAUAAGGAUUAAAAACAAAAAGAAGAAGAAGAACAAGAUUGUGACCAAAGUUACUUAUUUCCUUUUUUUGGUUGGAGUAACUAGACUAGCACAGCAGAGAAAUAUUGACAACUUACUUGUGUAACCCCUGCCCCAUUGGCAUGGAAUACUCAUCAGUGGAGCAAAAAGCCCCACCUUGCAAAGGGGUGGCAUGGAAUUGAGAAAAAGAAAUCUCUAGCUCUCUCCAGUCCCUGUGGGGGACUCUUGGAAUGACCAUCUUUUUCAGCAUUCUUCAAGCAGUGAGUUGCUUCAGGUCCUUCUGGCUUCUGAUUUUGAGAGGGAAGAAGCAAGAUGCAAGAAGCCAACCACACUUCAGGUGGCAGAAGGAAACCAUGAAAGGAGCUGACUAUCUCUGGUCAUGUCCCUAUCUCCAGCUUACAAUAGAGCCAUGAGAUUUUAGAUGACAAAUGUUCACGACCUGGUUCUGAUACCUGGAACCUGGUGUACAGAUGGAAGGUAGCAGCACCUUGGGUGAGGGCCCUGAACUCCUUACAAAGAGAAUCUGAGAUAGAAUCAUAUCCGUGAAGAGAUUACCAAUGAUCUGCUUGAGUUUCCUGCUGCCCCUUGGCCAACAUGGAAGCUUGUUCUGAAGUGAAAAGAAUUGGAAAGUCCCUGACAUCCUGGCAAGCUGAGUUACGGGCACUAAGGAAAGAAGAAGCCUUUUUUAACAGAAGCAGAGUCAGGUGGAGGAUUGGCCUUCUGAUGAGAAAGGGAUCUUCUGACUCUUUAAAGAAAGGCCUUCUUUGGCAAACUGGGGAAACCUCAGAAGUUCAGGUUCAGAAUACUCCCUGGCCAUCAGGACAAGAAAAAAGUCAACUAGGCAAGAAGUGAACUCUCUGUCUCUGGAAGUGUCCAAUCAUGAGAGAUGGUUCAGUACAAACAAUGCUGAAUUGGGAGCCACUUCAAAUUCUGGUUCAAAACUAGUAGGACCUUCAAUGAGUUUUUCCCCAAAUAUGGACUCAAUUUCCUCAUUUGUAGUAAUAGUUGAUACUUAUUAAAGCACUUUGUUGUUCUUAUUGGUCAGAUCUGUGAUUCCAUUCAUAUAAAGAACUCUCUUUUUGGGAGUACUAUUGUAAAGAUUAAAAUUUAGGGGAGACUGAGGCAGGUAGAAAUUAGUUUCUCUCUGCAAGUAGUAUUAUAUUUUUAUGAGGUUUAUUAAAGGUUAAGGAUUAAAGAAAAUACAGAAUAAGAAAGCACAUGCCUAGGCCAGAGAGGCCUGGACAAGAUAACCUCACAUCAUGAAAGAGACAUGUCUGCUCCAAAACGGAAGUCCAAAAAAGCUCGAGCCUAUUCACAACCAGGCUUAAAUACCCCAUCUCACUCUCGGCCCAAGUGAGAAUUCAGUGAGAUUAGAGGGCAUUCUGGGGAAGUGGAGCAAGGAUUUCUGGGGAUUGAAGUCCUGGAUUCGAGUCUAUUUUUACACUAUCUACCAAAGUUGGCCAAUAGACAAAUUAUGCACCCACUAUAUACCAGGCAUUGGGGAUACAAAACCAGAUGUGAACCUGUCCCUGCCUUCCCUAAAUUCUAAAUUUGAUUAGAAUCUCUCUCUGUAACUACAUACCAUUAGAGAGUGGAGAGAGCAAGGGAAUUGAUUUGCCCAGAGUCACAAAGCAAGAUUAUGCCAGGGUUGGGACUUGGACCCACCUCUAAUUCAUUCUGGCCAGUCUGCCAGCCAGUAUGUGACUGAUUGUCUUUGUUUAGGUUGUUCUGUCUAAUAACAGAAGAGUAGGACAAUUGAAAGAAUAGCUUUCAAAAGAAGAAAUUCAAACUAUUCAUAACCAUAUGAAAGAAUGCUCCGUAAGAUUAGUAAUAAGAGAAGUUAAAAUUAAAACAAUUCCAAGGUUUUAUCUCAUAUCCGUGAGAUUGGCAGAGAUGACAGAAGAUAGAAUGAUGGAGGAGCCAUGGAAUGAUGGGCAUAGUAAUACACUAGUGGUGGAGCUGUGAAUUUUGAUCCAAUUAUUCUGGAAAACAACUUUGAUUAGACUUUCAAAGUCAUUAAAAAGUAAAUACCUGCAAACCCAGUGAAUAUACUAUCAGUCAAAAUCUCCAAAGUCAAAGAGAGAGAGGUCCCAUGAUCAAAUGAUGAAACACAUAUACGGCUGUAGCUGAUCCAGGGGUGGGGGGUGGUAGUAAGGAUGGAGGUCCCCAUCUCCAUGAACAUUGCUCCCCUUGAUGAUGGCUAUGGAGAGGCCAACUGGAAACAGAGGUAGUAGCCUGAAACUUGCUGUCACUCCUGAGGCUCUUGAGCUUGCCUUUCCUCUGAGGCCAUUGGUUGGGACUUGGUGGUACAAAUGGCAGGCCUUUUCUCCACAAGGUUUGCUCCCCCUUACUGAUAUUUAUGAAAGCCAGACUGAUGGGCUGGGAGGGAGCUGUACUGUUGUUCCAAAGACUCACUAUGUCUCUUUCAUACUUGUAUCAUUUGUUGGAUAGCACAUUACCUGGCACGUAAUAAAUAUUUGAAUUGUUUUGUUUGUUUGUUUUUU